This 207-nucleotide ribosomal RNA is filed under the name uncultured bacterium. RNAcentral describes it as "partial 16S ribosomal RNA". It matches the Rfam family "Bacterial small subunit ribosomal RNA", at positions 568 to 774 of the family's 1533-position model. The record is from RNAcentral.
CGCGUAGACGGCUUUUUAAGUCUGGAGUGAAAGUCCUGCUUUCAAGGUGGGAAUUGCUUUGGAGACUGGAAAGCUUGAGUGCGGAAGAGGUAAGUGGAAUUCCCAGUGUAGCGGUGAAAUGCGUAGAGAUGGGGAGGAACACCAGUGGCGAAGGCGGCCUGCUGGGCUUUAAUUGACGCUGAGGCACGAAAGCGUGGGUAGCAAACA